CAGUCACCAAUUUGUAAGUGGCUUUGGAUAAGAGCGUCUGCUAAAUGACGUAAA
This is a non-coding RNA of Salmo salar (Atlantic salmon), 54 nucleotides long. Lineage: Eukaryota; Metazoa; Chordata; Actinopteri; Salmoniformes; Salmonidae. The record is from Rfam.